This is a non-coding RNA of Peromyscus maniculatus bairdii (prairie deer mouse), 123 nucleotides long. Lineage: Eukaryota; Metazoa; Chordata; Mammalia; Rodentia; Cricetidae. The record is from RefSeq and is a predicted model, not a curated record.
CAGUAAGUGACAGCUGCGCAGGAACUGGAAGUGAUGUAGCUGGGCGGAGAGAGGAAGUGAGAGGGCAGCGACAGAGAGGCAUAUAGGCGUGGUUAUGCAGGAAGUAGGUCUCUCUUUGGCUGA